Molecule: ribosomal RNA, 460 nt
Filed under: uncultured bacterium
Lineage: Bacteria
Description: partial 16S ribosomal RNA
Rfam family: Bacterial small subunit ribosomal RNA
Source: RNAcentral
CCUACGGGAGACAGCAGUGAGGAAUAUUGGUCAAUGGACGAGAGUCUGAACCAGCCAAGUAGCGUGAAGGAUGACUGCCCUAUGGGUUGUAAACUUCUUUUAUAAAGGAAUAAAACGAGGCACGUGUGCCUUUUUGCAUGUACUUUAUGAAUAAGGAUCGGCUAACUCCGUGCCAGCAGCCGCGGUAAUACGGAGGAUCCGAGCGUUAUCCGGAUUUAUUGGGUUUAAAGGGAGCGUAGAUGGGUUGUUAAGUCAGUUGUGAAAUUUUGCGGCUCAACCGUAAAAUUGCAAUUGAUACUGGCAGUCUUGAGUACAGUUGAAGUAGGCGGAAUGCGUGGUGUAGCGGUGAAAUGCUUAGAUAUCACGAAGAACUCCGAUUGCGAAGGCAGCUUACUAAGCUGCCACUGACAUUGAUGCUCGAAAGUGUGGGUAUCAAACAGGAUUAGAUACCCGUGUAGUC